AGCUUCCGGGCUAAUUUGAUCAAGAUGAGUAAAAGCAAAACCAUCUGGUUUCCUUCGACAGCUGAUUCCAGAAUCGCUAUUGUAAGAGACCUGUCUUCCAGGCAUCAAGCUUCCAGUGAAUCACAUCAAAGGCCUCCCUGCCAGCGCUGGCCCCUUCCAGCUGGGGGAAAAUGGGCUCAUUAGAAGCAGGAAGAGUACAUUGUUUACAUUAGGCGGUGCUGAUUUACAAGCCGGAGCCUCCAUUCCCCUGCUCACCUCGGCGCUGCCGGCUGGGGAGAGCCCUCCACUUGCCUGGAAAGGCUCCUUUGAAGCCUCCCUUGCAGCUAGGCGGGCCAUGUGACUAGUUCUGGCCAAUAGGCUUUGAGAGGAAGUGAUGUACGUCACCGCGCUAACGGGGUCGACGGCCGGAACGGUCCGCCAUCUUUGUUUUUGCCGCUGCCACGGAGACCUCGGAGGCGAAGGCUGGGGGCGGCGGCGGGCCGUGCGACCCAGGCCUGACCUGGUGCUGUUCCUUAGACCGCUGUGCACCGAGAGCCUCGAGUGGCUCAGGGGCUUCUAGAAGACCAUACCGCCAAGGCCCCGGGGGAGCUGCCCGGCCAGGCUGAUAACUUUUGAUAAAGGUAGAUAUCUAUGUAACUACCACCUGAUUAAGAUGUAGAACAUUUCCAUCUCCCCAGAAAGUUUCCUGCUGCUGGGCAACUACUGUUCUGAUUCCUAGCACUGUUGAUUAGUUUUACCUGUUCUACUAUAUGGUAUAAUCAAAGGCCCAUAAAUCCUACAAUAUAUACUCCUUUUUAUCUGGCUUCUUUUACUCAAUGUGAGAUAAUCAUGAAUGGCAUUUUAAGAAAAUUCUUGUUAAAUACUUUGAGUAUCUAGCUUCCGAGAUGUGACACGGAGUUGGGAAGAGGAUUCCUUCUGUGUCUGCAUGGAAUCCACGCAGAGUCCCUCCCACCCCCAAUAAGUUCUGGACCUCAGCACAGGGUGUUGUAAUAACUCCCAUUUCUCUGCCUGACGUUGUGCUGCAGCCAGAGAGCUCCACUGACACGCCCCUGCUUUAAGAACCUCACAGGUUGGGGUGUGGAGAGAGAAGUAGGAGGGAAUAAGGUUACUGAGGACCCCACAGCAUCACAAGUGCUAUCACAGAGAUUCUCUCCUGGGUCCUGUGACACAGAUGCACCAGGCACCAUCCCGGCCCCGAGGAGCUCCAGGCUCACAGAGCUAAGACAUUGCGUUUAAAAAGCAAGAGCUCUGGGCUUGCUUUUUGGAGUCAGUGGAGCUGGUCUUGCUAUUAGGACAGUAAAUACUGAGCAUCAUCCAAAGGGGAAAACUAGAGGAAGGAUCUGGGGUGACGAUCUUCUACUUACAUGGAGCACAGAGACAACUCAGACUUGGGAGGAACCGUGUCUGUCAGAGGAGAGUAUUAUCUCCACCACAUCCAGUGUCGGCUUAUAAACCCCACCAACAGGGAGCUCACUACCUCUUGCGGUACUCUGCAUCGUCAUUGAGCACCUGGACCCCAAACAGUCCCAGACUUCAAAUCUGAGGUUGUCCUGAGCUAGAAGAUGAUCGCAGAGUCUUGGCUGGUUAACAAUAAAGAUAGAGGAACAAUGUGCUUCCCCAAAGGACAGGCAUGCUUAUGAUGGAAAAAGGAAGUGUUCAUGAGGGCCGUGAUGCAGCUUCCCAGAGGCUGAUCUUGUAAUCACACCUCCUGGAUGUCCAGAGUAGCCUCUAGUGCUGUACGAGGAUGAAAGGAAGGCAAGACACCUCUUGAAGGACAGGGGAAUGCUUGGCCAAGGGUCAGGGUCAGGACCAAAUGGGGGACUGGAAGAUGGACAAUAAAACAUGAGGAGUAAGUAGAAUUCCACCCAGGGAUUUUGCUAGAACCUGGUGUGUGGCUGACUUGGAUUUGGCAUAGAGGCCACUUGGCACCAACACACCUUCUUCAGGCACAUCCUUUAUGGAGCUCCUACCCAUGCCCCUUACUGCCAUCUGGGUGUCUCCCGGUGCCAUAUUCCCAGCAGGAGUCACAAGGGCUUCCCACAGAAGGUACCCAGGGGCCCGGUCCAUGCACGAUCACUCCUAUCCCCAUUUCCCAACUCUAGCUCAUUCUCCCUCUAUCUCAUUCCCUCCCUCCCCCUUCUCUCUUCCCUCCUUCUCUGUUCCCUUUUCUCUUUUUUUUCCCCAAUGUCUUGUGAGUCCUUACUUUUUCUCUCCGCAGUGAUCUGUCCUUUCCUUCUGCCUGUGUUCAUUUUCUAUCAUCGCAAUGAAUAUGAAGCAAUGCCUCCCAACAGCCAGGUGCCAGAGGUACAGAGAUGAAAAAGGGUCCCCCAAAGGUGGAUCUGCUUGCAGGGGAGAUAGACUAAUGCUCUGAGGUUAGAAGGAAGCUCAAGGUGCGGUGGGAGUGCUGAGGAGGGGGUGGUUAUUAAAUCAGUGGAUCCUGGGAAGGUGGUAGGGAGAGUUACAAAGAGGAAUGGAUGGCUGGGAUGAGCACUGGCCAAUGACAGUUCACGCUUGGAUGUGGGCCUUCCAGGGAAAAGGAGCAGCAUGUGCCAGAAGCUUAGAGACAGGGAGAGCAUGGUGAGGUCCAUGCGCCUGGGUCUCAGGGAGGUGGACUUGGUGGGAAGUAACUGAUUAUGGACGCUCGUUCCAUACUCUGAGCAAAUGCCUCUGCGGAGGUUCAGUCUCCUGGCCAGGAGGAAUUUGGGGGAGAGCCACCCACCUUCAAUUCCCAGUUGGAGGGAGCAGAUGAGCUAUGAGCAGACAGGAAAUAGGGGCUGGGUAGUGGGCUACCUGGAGCUCACGCUUGAGCCCUUGUUCACCUUGACCUGUCCUGCUGCCCUGGGGACUGUCGGCUGCGGGGAGUAAGGGAGGCAGAGGGAGUUUCGAGGCAGAGGGGCUGUGGGGAGGAAGGGAGGCAGAGGGAAGUAGUAGUUUGAGCGACCUUUUAGCUGCUGAGACUUCACUGGGCCUGUCUGCUUGCCCAUUGGUUAUUCUGGGUAAGGUAGGGGCAGAUUUUCCAGGGGGCGAGGGAAGAAAUUACCUCUCUAAAAAGGAAGACGGUAACUCCUUGUGCCUCAAGCUGGAUGCACAACCGGGCUUCUGGCAGCCCUGAGUGGGCCCCAUGGGGCCUUGCCCAGCCCCGGAGCUUUCAUGAUGAAAUAAUUGGCAGCUCAUUGCAGCCCAGGCUGGGGCCCAACCAGGCCGCAUUGAGGUCUGUGGCUCCCGAUGAAGCAGGGCCCAUGCAGAGAUCCUUAAUGAGUCACAGAAGGGCUUCCCCAGGGGCCCAGGCCGCUGGGACAAGGUCACUACAACAGACGUGGAACCCCGUGGGCCCCUUCCCCACUGUGCAUCCAUGAGGGGCUCCCACCGUCGGGUGCCACAAAGGCCAGUCUUCCCACAAUGUCCUUGGACUGUACCCACAUGGCCAACUGUGCAAAUCUCAGCUCAGCCUUGCAGCCCGGAGCUGAGCCAGAGGCCUCUUGACUCAUUGCUGUAGCUGUUCUGGAACUUGGCACAGUUACUAGUAUUCCUCAAAGUCAUAAUUACCACCACUUAGCCUGGGUUAGUGAUCUGGAGCAGGGAGCAGCCCAGCCCGCAUUGCCUCCUGCUGCCAGCAGACCAACUACUGGUGAUAGCUUCGUGGUUCAUAAUAAUAAUAAUGAUGAUAAUAGCUAUCAUUUAUUGGACACUCGCUGUGGACCUGGCUCGGGGCUAGGUGUUUUACAUGCGGAACAGAGCCUGCUCCUGUUCCUCCCCCAAUUUUCUCCACCCCCCACCCCCCACUCCGGGUCUGCUUCAUAACCGUUGAUUUGCAUGGCAGCUUUUAUUUUAGAGCAGGGGGGGAGAGGGUGUUCUGAGGACGAGGUUGGAGUGGAUGAGAUGCAUUGUUUCCCAUCUGGCCUCUCAUGUGGUCUGGGUUUGAGCAGUUUGGUCAGCAGAAGGCCAGGAACGGACAGAAUGCUUUUUUUUUUUUUUUUUUCCAUGAGACACCUGGUAAGAUUCUGGACAAGAAAUCCUGGACAGAAAUCCUGGGAGACUUUGUGAGGCUUUAGGCAAAGCAAAGCUGCUUUGGAGGGCAGCCCUUACCCAGUUCUGCUGGGACCCCAAAGGCUGGUGGCUUUGGAAACAGCCAGCUGUUGAUGGCCACCUUGUGAAGGGUGAGGCAGGGGUGAAGCUUCCUGCAACAGGUUGUGUUCUCCAGAGGCAGAUGCUGAUGGUAAGACGUUCUGGGGACCAGCGCCUACAAAGGUGAGGGGGCGCGUGCAGGAUUGGGUGGAGGAAGAAGCUCAGCUACCACGCAAGCCCAACAAGGUCUCGGCCAGCCAGAUGAGGAGUUCUGAAAUGAGUUUGUCCCUCAGUGUCUGCACUUGGCAGGAGUGCACAGACUCACACCCCUACCUCACCAUCACUGGUCACAGGCUGUCCAGAAAGGACAGCCAAGGGUGGAGCUUCUGAGGCAGAUCUUGAAGGAGCUGAGAACUGUGGUGGCUAUAGAUUCCUCCCUAUAGCUGGGCUUCUCCAAGUAGCUUCAUGGUGGAGGGUAGAGGGGUGUGUGGGCCUGAAACAAGGGGGAGAGGAGGAACAAAUGGGGAGGCCAGCUGUCCGGUUUUGUGAAGAUGUGUGAGUGCCUUUGGCAACUCCUACAGAAACCGGGUGGUGCUUUGGGGAGGCUAAUUUCCAUCAGUCAAGUGGCCUGGAGCCACCAUAAUUUGGUCAUGAGAAGUCAGUGUGACUUUAUUUUCUGGUCAAAGGCUGGUGAGAUUACACAUAUGUGUUCUUUAAAUUUCCCACAAUAACCCCACUUAAUAGAUGGGAAGACAGAGUUCUGAGGGCCAAGUAGCUCGGGUGUUCAGGUCACCCCCGAACACAGGCCAGGCUGAUUUGGAAGCUCAAGUCUUUCCCCUCAUUGCUGCCGGGGAUAGGGGAGCCUCAGGCGAACUGCCUCUGGGAGGUCCUCAUUGCGUUUGGCUCCAGUUCAAAGAAUGGAGAGAGCAGGACCCUCUUAGCUUGCCAGGCCUGCCAUCACAGAGCACCACAAGCAGGGUAUCUCGAAACAACAGAAAUUUAUCGUCUCAGUUCUGGAGCUAGAGGGCCAAACUCAAGGUGCAGGAUGGUUAGCGCUUGGAGGAGAAUUUGGUCCAUGCUCUUCUGCUUCAGGUAGGUAGUGCCAGGUGCUCCUUGGCCAAUAGAUACAUCAUUUCCAUCCUUGGACGGAUGUCGGAUGCCCGCCUAUGGGGACACCAGUCAUGUUGGAUUAAGGACCUGUCCUCCACAAAGACCUCAACUGAUUACAUCUGCCACCACCUUCUUGGCAGAUAAGGCUACACUCUGAGGUAUCGGUGUUCUAGGACUUUAAUAUAUCUUUUUGGGGCCACGAUUUAACCCAGAAUAGACUUAGAAGACCCUAUGUGCCAUCUACCCUCCCUGAGCCCACCCACCAAUUCUUCUACUGCCUUGGAUUCAUUGUGCCAGGACAAUGAAGCUAAGCUCUGGGGUUCAGCUGCAGGGAGGGCAACAUGCUGGACCCCUCCUUGCCAUCGAUGGAGGGUCCAUUGUCUCUCCCCAAACCAAGGGUGUUUAUGGCAUCAUAAAGCAUCAUAGCAAGGUCUCACCACAGCGACCCGAGUCCCGGGACAGCAGGGACUAACGUGACCUCACGCUUAACCACUGUCCCCUACGGUGCUUGGCACACAGCAGAGUCUGAGAACAGGAAGGGACUCUGGAGGAACUGACCUGCUGCGUAAGGUGCAGCACGGCGGUCUGGCAGGAUGGGGCCCUCAAUCAAUGUUUGCUGAACGGUGAAUGAAUGGAUGGAUCCCAAGGACAGGGUUACCGUGGAGCUCCCAAGCAUUUAUCUUGAAUCUGGAAAAUGCAAGAAAAAUUGGGCCAUC
Long non-coding RNA from Canis lupus familiaris (dog), 5891 nucleotides. RefSeq lists it as uncharacterized. The transcript has 12 exons. The record is from RefSeq and is a predicted model, not a curated record. Lineage: Eukaryota; Metazoa; Chordata; Mammalia; Carnivora; Canidae.